This 500-nucleotide ribosomal RNA is filed under the name uncultured bacterium. Its description in RNAcentral is "partial 16S ribosomal RNA". It matches the Rfam family "Bacterial small subunit ribosomal RNA", at positions 29 to 523 of the family's 1533-position model. The record is from RNAcentral.
AUUGAACGCUGGCGGCAGGCCUAACACAUGCAAGUCGAGCGGCAGCGGGACCUUCGGGUUGCCGGCGAGCGGCGGACGGGUGAGUAAUGCCUAGGAAUCUGCCUGGUAGUGGGGGAUAACGCGGGGAAACUCGCGCUAAUACCGCAUACGUCCUACGGGAGAAAGCGGGGGCUCUUCGGACCUCGCGCUAACAGAUGAGCCUAGGUCGGAUUAGCUAGUUGGUGGGGUAAUGGCCCACCAAGGCGAGGAUCCGUAACUGGUCUGAGAGGAUGAUCGGUCAAGCUGGAACGGGGACACGGUCCAGACUCGUACGGGAGGCAGCAGUGGGGAAUAUUGGACAAUGGGCGAAAGCCUGAUCCAGCCAUGCCGCGUGUGUGAAGAAGGUCUUCGGAUUGUAAAGCACUUUAAGUCGGGAGGAAGGGCUGUAGGCUAAUACCUUGCAGUUUUGACGUUACCGACAGAACAAGCACCGGCUAACUUCGUGCCAGCCGCCGCCGUAA